GAUGAACGCUGGCGGCGUGCCUAAUACAUGCAAGUCGAGCGAACGGACGAGAAGCUUGCUUUUCUGAUGUUAGCGGCGGACGGGUGAGUAACACGUGGAUAACCUACCUAUAAGACUGGGAUAACUUCGGGAACCGGAGCUAAUACCGGAUAAUAUUUUGAACCGCAUGGUUCAAAAGUGAAAGACGGUCUUGCUGUCACUUAUAGAUGGAUCCGCGCUGCAUUAGCUAGUUGGUAAGGUAACGGCUUACCAAGGCAACGAUGCAUAGCCGACCUGAGAGGGUGAUCGGCCGCACUGGAACUGAGACACGGUCCAGACUCCUACGGGAGGCAGCAGUAGGGAAUCUUCCGCAAUGGGCGAAAGCCUGACGGAGCAACGCCGCGUGAGUGAUGAAGGUCUUCGGAUCGUAAAACUCUGUUAUUAGGGAAGAACAUAUGUGUAAGUAACUGUGCACAUCUUGACGGUACCUAAUCAGAAAGCCACGGCUAACUACGUG
Molecule: ribosomal RNA, 496 nt
Filed under: uncultured bacterium
Lineage: Bacteria
Description: partial 16S ribosomal RNA
Rfam family: Bacterial small subunit ribosomal RNA
Source: RNAcentral